UCACCACUUGCAUAAAACAGAAGGAACAAAUUCCUCGAUCCCUCUUCUAACACAGAAGCAAUGGGAUGUUCAAAUGCACCAUGUCGAAAUCUCGCGGGAACGUUUUUUAUUCGAACUUGAGGAUCUUGAGAGAUUCUCUUUCUCAAGAUGCAUACUCUUGAGAAGAGAUUACAUGAAGCAUGUAGGAUAAUUAGCAAUGGUACAGGAAACAUCCUUUAUUCUCUUCCAAGAGCAAGCAAAAGAGAAAUCUUUGGGGAUCUGAGAGUGAAAUACCCGUACAGCUAAACCAAGUCAAGUCAAACAGGUCAACGCUUAAACAUCAUGAAGUUUUCAAGAGGAGGAUUUUUCAUCUUGGCAGUUGUCUGCCUUGCUGUACUAACAGAAUGCGCACCACGUCUAAGGAGCCCGCGCCAUAUCAGAAAACCAAGAGGCUCAAUCAACGGUUUCUACUGGAACAAAAAACUUCCCGUUGGCUUCGUCAUCAACAACGUCAAAGCAGACAACAAGCAAUUCAAGCGCAGCGUUGGCAGUGGUAGUGGCAGCGGCAGUGGUAGUGGAAGCGGUGCUAAGGCUUAAAUAAAUGCUGACUUUCUCGUAAUAUUGAUAGCUAACGUGUGAUAGUCAAAUUGACAUAAAAGAAAACGAUGGAAAUAAGAUCUAAUAUUUAUGUUAGUUAUAUGACGAUGCGUCGUAUUGUAAUGGAGUUUAAUACAUUAUAAAAAUAUGAGUACAGUGUAAUAGCGAAUACAUUAACAAUAAUAGUUAUAAUCAUAAUCAUAAU
Actinia tenebrosa (Australian red waratah sea anemone) is the source of this 781-nucleotide long non-coding RNA. RefSeq lists it as uncharacterized. The record is from RefSeq and is a predicted model, not a curated record. Lineage: Eukaryota; Metazoa; Cnidaria; Anthozoa; Actiniaria; Actiniidae.